RNAcentral lists this ribosomal RNA (484 nucleotides) under uncultured bacterium. RNAcentral describes it as "partial 16S ribosomal RNA". It matches the Rfam family "Bacterial small subunit ribosomal RNA", at positions 30 to 507 of the family's 1533-position model. The record is from RNAcentral.
AUUGAACGCUGGCGGCAGGCCUAACACAUGCAAGUCGAGCGGAUGAAGGGAGCUUGCUCCUGGAUUCAGCGGCGGACGGGUGAGUAAUGCCUAGGAAUCUGCCUGGUAGUGGGGGAUAACGUCCGGAAACGGGCGCUAAUACCGCAUACGUCCUGAGGGAGAAAGUGGGGGAUCUUCGGACCUCACGCUAUCAGAUGAGCCUAGGUCGGAUUAGCUAGUUGGUGGGGUAAAGGCCUACCAAGGCGACGAUCCGUAACUGGUCUGAGAGGAUGAUCAGUCACGCUGGAACUGAGACACGGUCCAGACUCCUACGGGAGGCAGCAGUGGGGAAUAUUGGACAAUGGGCGAAAGCCUGAUCCAGCCAUGCCGCGUGUGUGAAGAAGGUCUUCGGAUUGUAAAGCACUUUAAGUUGGGAGGAAGGGCAGUAAGUUAAUACCUUGCUGUUUUGACGGUACCUACAGAAUAAGCACCGGCUAACUUCGUG